UACAGAGGGGGCAAGCGUUGUUCGGAAUUACUGGGCGUAAAGGGCGCGUAGGCGGCCUGUUAAGUCGGACGUGAAAUCCCUCGGCUCAACCGGGGAACUGCGUCCGAUACUGGCGGGCUUGAAUUCGGGAGAGGGAUGUGGAAUUCCAGGUGUAGCGGUGAAAUGCGUAGAUAUCUGGAGGAACACCGGUGGCGAAGGCGGCCAACUGGACGAAUACUGACGCUGAGACUCGAAAGCGUGGGGAGCAAACAGG
RNAcentral lists this ribosomal RNA (253 nucleotides) under uncultured bacterium. RNAcentral's name for it is "partial 16S ribosomal RNA". It matches the Rfam family "Bacterial small subunit ribosomal RNA", at positions 524 to 776 of the family's 1533-position model. The record is from RNAcentral.